Molecule: ribosomal RNA, 2004 nt
Filed under: Triticum aestivum (bread wheat)
Lineage: Eukaryota; Viridiplantae; Streptophyta; Magnoliopsida; Poales; Poaceae
Description: partial small subunit ribosomal RNA
Source: RNAcentral
GGCGACGACGACCUGUACGGCUAUGGUACCUGGGUAGAGGUCCGAGUAAUGCGACGACGGCCUGGACGACGGCUCUGAGGUAGAGGAAGCUCAACGCAGGGAUGGCUUCGGUCGGCAGGGGCACGGAACUCUAUGAACUGUUUAAACUAUAAUUCCCACGUAGUACCUGUUUUGCACCAACAGAUUCGGAUCUACUCAGCUGUUACUUCGAGCCCCGCACUAUACCGCGAGCCACAUCCACCGGUACCACCUGGACUUCGAUCGACUCUAUUCGCUGCCCUAGUUACAACACGAGGAGGGCAAGAGUAAUUGGUUUAUCACGUCUCACACCGACGUACUGACCACAUAUAUAGGUGAACCUGGUGGUUUAAGUUUGAUUAUCGUUCUUGAUUUAUAUCACAACUCAAUAUCAAGCAUUUGUCUAGGUAUAAUCAAGUCUCUAGGCGUGUUGUUUAAACAUGUAAAUCUUACUGGUCGUUUUAGGUCAUCAUGUUAAUUGAUAUAGCUUUCUCAAAUAAACUAGUUAUACACGUGUACUUUGUUGUUUAAUUGGGCACACUUGAUAGGUACCUUAAUACGUUACGUGUCUGUUUAUAAGCCUGUUGUACUACAAAGUAAGGCUCCGAUAUCAGUGUAGUCACUUUGGUUUGGUAAUAUAUACUAAGGGGUAUCUGUCUAACGUGGUUUCUGAGACCAAUGAACGGAUGUCGAUUAAUAAAAAGAAUUAAGGUCCCUCCAUAGUCUAAUACCUCGAGCCCCUAGACAGAACGGACAACAGACUUGACUUUGUUGUCGGAGUGAGAGAAGAACCAGAACUUAUUGUCACUCGACGAAGAGUUUACAGGGUAGCGUAUUGCCGACAUCGUGGGACUCGAGGAGUAAUAGACGAGGUACUAGUUCUAGGUAUCUGUGGCUCUCGGCGUGUGAACCGAUGUUCCAAACGGACCUACUGAGACUUAGCUUUGGUUAGCAUCUAACCCUCGACAUACGUAUAAGGUAAACACGUCUAGGUCGGUUUCGUGAAUUAAGUAUCAGGCGUUUUAUCCGUGAGAUACAUUGUGUUCCUUUUAGAUCGAAUCUUUAGAUGUGCCUUAGACGUGACGCGAACCGAUUUAGUUGAAUGGACAGGUGGGAUAGAAAUGUAUUAGACUGUACUAACAAUUAAUAGUUAGAAGGUACUUUUUUUAGGUUGAAUGUUAAAGUCAAAUCGACUGUACGUGAUCUCCGUAAUUUGGUUGUUUCAACUGUGGAGCCCAGACUCAAUACGACUUGAAAAACUAGAAAAAUAAUUGGUGUAGCCACCAGAGUUUUUUUAAGUACUCAUCGUUGUGUCUGAUUAUUUAACGAUAAAUAGAAUAGAUACGAUAUUCUUUGGCCUCUGGCUUAAGAAGCUGUACCUCCCUAAGGAACUCUCGUGUAGUUGUGGACUUCGACGACGACAGCGUCGAGAUGUGAAAAAGAAGAAAGGCCUGUGGGCUGUCGGGUUCGUAUGUUCUCGUCGUUGUGCUCGUCCGGAACGACACGUUGUAGUCGUCUCGCGAGAGUCACGUCGCCUUGAUGAGCCCGCAGAGGCUGCUGUUGUAUGAACUAUGACUUCAACUUCUCACAUCGUGCCAACUACUCGACUUCGCCGUACUUUUGUCAUUGAAGAUAAUUUUUAUUCCUAUAAAGGUACAAAUUGGAAUAAUAGCUACAAAUAAUUUUAACCUAUACUUUUUCCACGUGUUACUGUCUACUGCAUCCAACACGGGGAAAAAUAGCGGGCCACGUUACGUACCCGUAAGAAUGAUCAUUAUUAAUGUACAUCCGGAUAAAAACUUACGGAUAAAAAGUUAACAAAACCCUUAAUCUGAUUCCUCAUUACUAACAAUAACCGAACAACGUCUAGUUUCUACGGUUCUUCUGUUGAUUACACGGUCCUCCACUUCCAUGAAUCGGUGGAUCGUAACCUACACUCCUCCUGAAACUCACAGUACCUUGUAUGUACCGACAAUCAUCAUAAAA